GGCGCACGGGUGCGUAACGCGUAUGCAACCUACCUUAAUCAGGGGGAUAGCCCGAAGAAAUUCGGAUUAAGACCGCAUAAAAACACAGGAUAGCAUUAUCCAAUGUUCAAAUAUUUAUAGGAUUAAGAUGGGCAUGCGUGUCAUUAGCUAGUUGGCGGGGUAACGGCCCACCAAGGCGACGAUGACUAGGGGAUCUGAGAGGAUGACCCCCCACACUGGUACUGAGACACGGACCAGACUCCUACGGGAGGCAGCAGUAAGGAAUAUUGGUCAAUGGAGGGAACUCUGAACCAGCCAUGCCGCGUGCAGGAAGACAGCCCUCUGGGUCGUAAACUGCUUUUAUUCGGGAAUAAACCUACUUACGUGUAAGUAGCUGAAUGUACCGAAGGAAUAAGGAUCGGCUAACUCCGUGCCAGCAGCCGCGGUAAUACGGAGGAUCCAAGCGUUAUCCGGAUUUAUUGGGUUUAAAGGGUGCGUAGGCGGCUUAUUAAGUCAGGGGUGAAAGACGGUGGCUCAACCAUCGCAGUGCCCUUGAUACUGAUGAGCUUGAAUACACUAGAGGUAGGCGGAAUGUGACAAGUAGCGGUGAAAUGCAUAGAUAUGUCACAGAACACCGAUUGCGAAGGCAGCUUACUAUGGUGUUAUUGACGCUGAGGCACG
Molecule: ribosomal RNA, 660 nt
Filed under: Pedobacter sp. AR-378
Lineage: Bacteria; Pseudomonadati; Bacteroidota; Sphingobacteriia; Sphingobacteriales; Sphingobacteriaceae
Description: bacterial SSU rRNA
Rfam family: Bacterial small subunit ribosomal RNA
Source: RNAcentral